This 482-nucleotide ribosomal RNA is filed under the name uncultured bacterium. Its description in RNAcentral is "partial 16S ribosomal RNA". It matches the Rfam family "Bacterial small subunit ribosomal RNA", at positions 30 to 507 of the family's 1533-position model. The record is from RNAcentral.
AUUGAACGCUGGCGGCAUGCUUUACACAUGCAAGUCGAACGGUAACAGCACUUCGGUGGCUGACGAGUGGCGAACGGGUGCGUAAUACAUCGGAACGUGCCUAGUAGUGGGGGAUAACUACUCGAAAGAGUAGCUAAUACCGCAUGAGAUCUAAGGAUGAAAGCAGGGGACCUUCGGGCCUUGCGCUACUAGAGCGGCUGAUGGCAGAUUAGGUAGUUGGUGGGAUAAAAGCUUACCAAGCCGACGAUCUGUAGCUGGUCUGAGAGGACGACCAGCCACACUGGGACUGAGACACGGCCCAGACUCCUACGGGAGGCAGCAGUGGGGAAUUUUGGACAAAGGGCGCAAGCCUGAUCCAGCAAUGCCGCGUGCAGGAUGAAGGCCUUCGGGUUGUAAACUGCUUUUGUACGGAACGAAAAGCCCUCUUCUAAUACAGGAGGGUCAUGACGGUACCGUAAGAAUAAGCACCGGCUAACUACGUG